AGUGCAUCCUAUCAGCUAAGGCAGGCAAUGAGAGGAGGGAAGGCAUCCUCUUGGAUUUAGAGUGGGCAAAGCUUGGGACUAUCUGGAGAUGAACCCGAGUAACAGGGGCAUAGAAAUACCAGAUCAUCACUGCUGAGCUAUGGGCAGCACCACGGUCCUGUUCCCUGAACCCUGCUACUCAGAGGGGUCUCCAGCUAGAGUGGGCUGCUCAGCUGACAGCCACAUGCUCCUGCAUUUUCAUGGUGUCUUGGGUCUGGGCCCUCCCAGGGCUGACUGAGGGUCCUGGUGAGGAGCAGCUGCCUCCCUGGAGUGGAGUGGGGCAGUGCUGACCAACUUGGGCCUCUGGACAGGUGCUGAGGGAAGAGGGUGAAUCCGAUGUGGUGCGCCGGACCCAUGCAGGUGAUGGACUGAGCAGACCGCUGCCCGGCUCCAGCAAAACAGCCAUCCUGGGAGGAGAAUUGAGGACAAAGCCUUUGAGAGUGGGCACAAAUGAGCGCAGAGAACAAGGCUGCUUGAAAAUCCAGUGUCUGGUUCCCAGGAACUUAGCACCAGAUAACUGUUCCCUGAAAGACUUUUCUCAAACAUUCGGGGGAGGAGAAAGUAAUGGGACAGGCAACAGGGAGGACUGACCUGAAAAUGGCCCCAGGAUCUUCCACAGCCAGAGAUAACCUUGCUUUAACCAUGAUGAAUGCAACUUUUACAAGGGAAGACACCAUCAGGAAAGGGGCUUUUGGCUUAUGCAUUAGACACUCAGGGGGCUGUGAGGUGUUUGAGAAGCCUUCUGCUCCUACUGGACAGGAGCAAUGACCAUCGCACUGCAAUGCUGUGAUACCGUACUCUUGAAGUCAAAAGAGCCAAGUCCACGUCACUGAAUGUGAGCCCAUGAGAGUCACCUGAUUUUGCACAUCGUCUGGCUCAGUCUCUAGUGGUGCCCAAUAAAUGCAUACUG
Molecule: long non-coding RNA, 949 nt
Organism: Talpa occidentalis (Iberian mole)
Lineage: Eukaryota; Metazoa; Chordata; Mammalia; Eulipotyphla; Talpidae
Exons: 6
Source: RefSeq, a predicted model, not a curated record